RNAcentral lists this ribosomal RNA (163 nucleotides) under Deschampsia cespitosa (tufted hair grass). Its description in RNAcentral is "5.8S ribosomal RNA". It matches the Rfam family "5.8S ribosomal RNA". Rfam says of the family: 5.8S ribosomal RNA (5.8S rRNA) is a component of the large subunit of the eukaryotic ribosome. It is transcribed by RNA polymerase I as part of the 45S precursor that also contains 18S and 28S rRNA. The record is from RNAcentral. Lineage: Eukaryota; Viridiplantae; Streptophyta; Magnoliopsida; Poales; Poaceae.
ACACGACUCUCGGCAACGGAUAUCUCGGCUCUCGCAUCGAUGAAGAACGUAGCGAAAUGCGAUACCUGGUGUGAAUUGCAGAAUCCCGCGAACCAUCGAGUCUUUGAACGCAAGUUGCGCCCGAGGCCAUUCGGCCNAGGGCACGCCUGCCUGGGCGUCACGC